UAAUAUUCUCUAUUGCCUGGCAACUCAUUAAUGUACUUAUUUGUUUGGUUCAGGAGGCAAGUUAAAAGAAGAAAAGUUACAAAAAUAAUAUCCCGAUAAGAAAAUAACAAACUAAAAAUUGUGAAAGAUCGUGUCAAAAACCUAACUAAAUAAUGAGUCAAAGACCUUGAAGAAUUUUGACUUCAAAUCGUUUAAUGUCGUGAGUCCAAUGAAUAAAUAAUGAAAAUACCUCGUCAGAAACUACUAUAUACAUAUUUACUAAUGGAAAACAAAGCUUUUCGAUAGUCCUUAAGAUGUUGGGAUUCGAUGAACUUAUAAUGAAACAAAAUUCGAUUGGUACGCAGAGAUGAAUCCAACACGAUCAGUAAGUAAAAGUUUUCUUCUUUCCUUCUUGUAGUCAAUAUUAUAAUAAGAGUUAGGAGACUAGAAUAUCUAUAUAAUGUUGUUCUGAAAACAGGAGCAAAAAAGUUGUUUUUUUCUCUGAUGCGUUUUCCUCUAUAAUAAUUUCAAUAUAAACUAGUCAGCAGUAUUGUUUACUCUGAUAGAUAGUCAAUUAUGUGUUUCUGAGGAAGCCCUAGUUGAUUCUUUUCGUCCAUUUUGUUCACACCUGCUGUAAGAUCAGACUCAGAUUUUGUUAUUGUGCUAGGUGACUAACGACUCCCAGUGUCUAGAUGUCAUAGUUUCGUUAGCACUAAAAGGAGACGCACUAUUGGCACAAUGACAGUUACAAAAUGUAACUAGCUUAAAAAUGUUGGCUUUUGGUGUGACCGAACGACGAAUAUCUACUAUAAACAUAUACUACUAACUGAGUAAUUUAAUUGAAUGUGUUAAAAGAAAAACAACAUCGGUUGAUUGGUAACUUAAAUAGUGCUAUUGUUUUCCUCUAUUGCCUACAAAAUACUAAACCAAAAAAAAUUACAAACUUACAUUAGCUUCAAAUUCAAGAUUAACUUCAAAUUCAUAAUAUUAAAACUAGCAGAAAGAGAUAUAUAUAUAAUAAGUUUUAAAUUUUCAAAAAAAAAAAAGUCAAAUUCAAAAUAGUCUUUUACUAUACUAAGCAAAAAUAAUUCCUUCCUAUGAGAUUUAAAAAGAUUAACCUAAACUACAAACUAGUCUUCUUAUUCAUUAAAGGAACUAUUACGUAAUCUAAUACUAAUAAAAAAAGAAAAUACAAUAAAAAGAAAUUCAAAUUAAACUAUGUACUUAUUCAGUAGUAUCAAAGUGAACAAUUCAUUUCCCUAUUCCGUUGAGAACCUUAUGCUAAAUAAUAAGAAAAAGAAUUAAAAAGAAAAACUAAAACAAAAAAACUUAAAUAUAUAAGAGUGUCGUAGGCGGCGACUAUUAGAAAAGAUAAACAUAACAGUUUCGAGACAGACUAUAAAGGUAGGUCUAGGAACAAACUUUUCAGGAAACCAUAGCAAAAAAACUUGGUAAGAUUUAGAAAAAGGUAGUUACUUAUUGUUUAAGGUUUUUGCGUGGUAGAUUCCGAUUACUUUCCCCUGCAGAUCUUCUAGUUCAUAGUAGCAAUUCCGACCGGACGAACAAUGCGACAUUUAAGAAACUUCCUACCCAUUUUAGCGUUAUAUAAUUUACUCGAGUCGCUAAGUGUAAAGUUACGGCGAAAAACUUCCUGACCCGGACGGAAUAGUUACGCACGAGUGGCGUAACUAUUCGCCAGGUUUUUCGAAUUUCCUCGCGUAUUAGUUCUUGUCUUUUCGUUUUAGGUAAAAGGUUCAUCUCGGCGUCCUCUAUUAGUUCCAGUUUUCUGGCCAAUUUAUAAACGCUGCCGUGAGUUAUCAUAUUCGUCCCAAACAAAGCAAAGUAGGGAGUCAUACCAAUCGAUGUGUGCACUGAUGACCUGAGUGCACACUCUAUUUCGGAUAGAUGGUUGUCCCAAUCUCUCUGGUCACUCUUCAAGUAAGAUCUUAUUGCGGCUAAAAUCGAUUGGUUGACUCUCUCCGACGCAUUGGCUUGGGGUGAAUAUAUAGCUGUUCUCAUGUGCUUGAUACCAAACAGUUUCGCCAUAUCUGCAAAUUCUUUGGACUGAAACUGACUUCCAUUAUCGGAUAAAAUUACCUCUGGGACGCCAAACUUAUGGAAAACUUCCGAAACCAAGAAACGAACUACGUUCUUAUUAUUAGCCUUGGACAUAGCCUUCAAUAGUACGAAUUUCGUAAAGUGAUCUAAAACAAUAAAUAUGAAACAAUUUCCUGCCUUCGAUCGAACAUACGGCCCUAAAAAGUCUAUAUAUAUAUAUAUAUAUAUAUAUAUCUUUUGAAACGGACGCACUACUUCCGGAAGAUUCUCAAUCAUUAGUGGUCUAACAACCUGGUUACAAGGUUUAAGAGUUUUGUGAAAACCACCAUGGCUUGCCGUCGGAGGAUUGUGGGCCUUGCUAAUAAUGUCCUUGCAUAACUCAGCGGGCACCCAUAAUUUCCAAGAAAAAUCCUCUGUAAGAACGUCGCCGUUGUAAUGUGAGGUACGUUUGUAAACAUAAUUAUCCUCUACUUUCAAAUCGGGUAACUGAUCUUCAUUUUCCUUAAUUUCCGACAAUAAUUCUCGAUAUUCUUCCGACGAAAAAGACGGGUCCUCUAAAUCGAUUAGUUGCCUUAUAUCGGCGGCAAUUUCCUCCAUGUCGUAACGCGAGAGAGUAUCUGGUACAAUAUUCUUGCUCCCUUGGCGGUGUUCAAUCUUGAACGAAUAGGAUUGUAGUAGCAGGCUCCAUCGGGCUAGUCUUCCACUUAAUUCUUUAUUGGACAUCAGCCAUUUCAAACUGGAAUGGUCCGUAAUGACUGUAAAAGCCAUUAAUUCAAUAUAUGCCCGGAAUUUUUUGAUGGCCAUUACUACUGCCAGACACUCUCGUUCUGUAACCGAGUAGUUCCGUUGCGCUGGUGUUAACUUUUGCGACAUAAAGGCAAUUGGAUGUUCGCCCUCAAUUUCAUCCUUUUGAAAAAGAACCGAUCCGAUACCGAUGUCCGAAGCGUCGCAUUGGACAUAAAAUGGCUUCGAAAAGUCCGGAUGACGUAAUACUGGACUAGAUGUGAGGGCCACUUUCAAUUUAUCAAAUGCCUUCUUCGCCUCAUCUGGGAAAACGAACGUUUUAGAUUUUUUGAGCGUUUCAAAAAUCGGGUUAGCAAUGGUAGCGUAGUCCUUAAUAAACCGACGGUACCAGCCGGUAGUUCCCAUAAAACCGCGCACUUGUCUGGACGUCUUUGGGUAAGGAAAAUCGAGUAUCGAGGAUAUUUUUGCUGGGUCAGGUUUCAAUUUGCCUUCUCCAACAAUAUAUCCAAGAUACCGAAGUUCCUUAAAACAAAACUGUGAUUUUUCG
Molecule: long non-coding RNA, 3328 nt
Filed under: Lucilia cuprina (Australian sheep blowfly)
Lineage: Eukaryota; Metazoa; Arthropoda; Insecta; Diptera; Calliphoridae
Description: uncharacterized LOC124419654
Source: RNAcentral